UCAAACUUGGUCAUUUAGAGGAAGUAAAAGUCGUAACAAGGUUUCCGUAGGUGAACCUGCGGAAGGAUCAUUAUCGAAUGCCCUCUGGGCUUCACUGGCUGUGCGCCUUCGGGCUGCACGCCGUCCACACACACCGUGCACUCAUCGGUGGGGUAACACCCGCCGCAUUACAAAAUACCAGUCUCGAAUGUGAAACACACAAAGUUAAAUACAACUUUCAGCAACGGAUCUCUUGGCUCUCGCAUCGAUGAAGAACGCAGC
RNAcentral lists this unclassified non-coding RNA (261 nucleotides) under uncultured fungus. RNAcentral describes it as "partial contains small subunit ribosomal RNA, internal transcribed spacer 1, and 5.8S ribosomal RNA". The stretch from base 1 to 73 matches the Rfam family "Eukaryotic small subunit ribosomal RNA", at positions 1759 to 1831 of the family's 1831-position model. Lineage: Eukaryota; Fungi. The record is from RNAcentral.